GUGCCCCAGUUUCUCUGGCAGCCUUUGUUGGAAAGAUUAAUUGUUACUUGUUAGUAACUUAGACUGAAGCAGUUUUCUAAUUUUGCAUUCCAUUGCCUGCCUCGUGGACAGAUUAGAUUGAUUCUUAUGAGAUUAAUCACUCAAAGUGCCCUCUUAUCAAUGAAACUUACCAUUCUGAGAUUUUUUAGCUCUU
RNAcentral lists this non-coding RNA (193 nucleotides) under Arabidopsis thaliana (thale cress). The record is from RNAcentral. Lineage: Eukaryota; Viridiplantae; Streptophyta; Magnoliopsida; Brassicales; Brassicaceae.